RNAcentral lists this ribosomal RNA (53 nucleotides) under Sarcinomyces sp. SL10220. RNAcentral describes it as "partial 28S ribosomal RNA". The record is from RNAcentral. RNAcentral also lists the same sequence under 2 other names. Lineage: Eukaryota; Fungi; Ascomycota; Eurotiomycetes; Chaetothyriales.
UUAAGGUUGACCUCGGAUCAGGUAGGAAUACCCGCUGAACUUAAGCAUAUCAA